UGGGGAAUAUUGGACAAUGGAGGAAACUCUGAUCCAGCAAUUCUGUGUGUGUGAAGAAGGUUUUAGGACUGUAAAACACUUUUAGUAGGGAAGAAAAAAAUGACGGUACCUACAGAAGAAGCAACGGCUAAAUACGUGCCAGCAGCCGCAGUAAUACGUAUGUUGCGAGCGUUAUCCGGAAUUAUUGGGCUUAAAGGGCAUCUAGGCGGUAAGACAAGUUGAAGGUGAAAACCUGUGGCUCAACCAUAGGCUUGCCUACAAAACUGUUGAACUAGAGUACUGGAAAGGUGGGUGGAACUACACGAGUAGAGGUGAAAUUCGUAGAUAUGUGUAGGAAUGCCGAUGAUGAAGAUAACUCACUGGACAGAAACUGACGCUGAAGUGCGAAAGCUAGGGGAGCAAACAGG
RNAcentral lists this ribosomal RNA (407 nucleotides) under Verrucomicrobiota bacterium. RNAcentral describes it as "Verrucomicrobia bacterium partial 16S ribosomal RNA". It matches the Rfam family "Bacterial small subunit ribosomal RNA", at positions 355 to 776 of the family's 1533-position model. The record is from RNAcentral. Lineage: Bacteria; Pseudomonadati; Verrucomicrobiota.